AGGAGGAUUCAAAAGCUACAUUGCUACAAAGCCGUUCAUUAACAGCAAUGAGAACACCGCCACCACUGCUCUUAUCGGAAUUGGUUAAGGAUCUAUCACAACGAAUGCGUAAAUGUCGAAAUCGCGCUCCAGUGCAGACAUGAAAACUGCUUGAAGACGGCCACUACUCCGGAUACUGUUUACAUUCUGACGGCUCAGGCAAACGAGAGGUAAACACAUUGUGUCCUGUAGCGGGAAGCAACGGCAUGGGUGAAAUCGAACUAGACUGUCGGAGGCUGCUCAUUGUUUGGUUGUUCGUUGUUUGGCUGGACUGGC
Molecule: long non-coding RNA, 315 nt
Organism: Wyeomyia smithii (pitcher-plant mosquito)
Lineage: Eukaryota; Metazoa; Arthropoda; Insecta; Diptera; Culicidae
Exons: 3
Source: RefSeq, a predicted model, not a curated record